RNAcentral lists this ribosomal RNA (910 nucleotides) under Pseudomonadota bacterium. Its description in RNAcentral is "bacterial SSU rRNA". It matches the Rfam family "Bacterial small subunit ribosomal RNA", at positions 8 to 951 of the family's 1533-position model. The record is from RNAcentral. Lineage: Bacteria; Pseudomonadati; Pseudomonadota.
AGAGUUUGAUCCUGGCUCAGAACGAACGCUGGCGGCAGGCUUAACACAUGCAAGUUGAACGGGAUUUGUGUGGUGCUUGCACCAUAUAAUGAGAGUAGCGCACUGGUGAGUAACACGUGGGAACGUACCUUUUGGUGGGGGACAACAUCUGGAAACGGAUGCUAAUACCGCAUAAGACCUGAGGGUGAAAGAUUUAUCGCCGAAAGAACGGCCCGCGGAAGAUUAGGCAGUUGGUGGGGUAAAGGCCUACCAAACCUACGAUCUAUAGCUGGUCUGAGAGGACGAUCAGCCACACUGGAACUGAGACACGGUCCAGACUCCUACGGGAGGCAGCAGUGAGGAAUAUUGGGCAAUGGAGGCAACUCUGACCCAGCCAUGCCGCGUGAGUGAAGAAGGUUUUCGGAUUGUAAAGCUCUUUCGGAUGUGACGAUGAUGACGGUAGCAUCUAAAGAAGCCCCGGCUAACUUCGUGCCAGCAGCCGCGGUAAUACGAAGGGGGCGAGCGUUGUUCGGAAUUACUGGGCGUAAAGGGUGUGUAGGCGGUUAUGUAAGAUAGCGGUGAAAUCCCGGGGCUUAACCUCGGAAUAGCCGUUAUAACUAUGUAGCUAGAGUUAUGGAGAGGAUAGCGGAAUACCCAGUGUAGAGGUGAAAUUCGUAGAUAUUGGGUAGAACACCGGUGGCGAAGGCGGCUAUCUGGCCAUAUACUGACGCUGAGGCACGAAAGCAUGGGGAUCAAACAGGAUUAGAUACCCUGGUAGUCCAUGCUGUAAACGAUGAAUGCUGGUUGUCGGCUUUAGGGUCGGUGACGAAGUUAACGCGAUAAGCAUUCCGCCUGGGGAGUACGGUCGCAAGAUUAAAACUCAAAGGAAUUGACGGGGACCCGCACAAGCGGUGGAGCAUGUGGUUUAAUU